This 542-nucleotide transfer RNA is filed under the name uncultured cyanobacterium. Its description in RNAcentral is "partial 16S-23S ribosomal RNA intergenic spacer". The stretch from base 212 to 284 matches the Rfam family "tRNA". Lineage: Bacteria; Bacillati; Cyanobacteriota. The record is from RNAcentral.
CAGGGAGACAACAAAAUGUUUAAUAUUAUUAUUUUGUCACCUUAGGUCGAUCGGUAUCUCACGUUCUUAAUUUAUUAAGAAUUUCAUUUCCUAAGUUUUUCUAGGUCACACCCAUUAUUUUUCCUGGGCCAUUAGCUCAGGUGGUUAGAGCGCACCCCUGAUAAGGGUGAGGUCCCUGGUUCAAGUCCAGGAUGGCCCAUAUCUCUAUGUUGGGGGUAUAGCUCAGUUGGUAGAGCGCCUGCUUUGCAAGCAGGAUGUCAGCGGUUCGAGUCCGCUUACCUCCACUGAUUACCACCUCUUCCAUAACCGGUAGAAAGGAAAUGUUUUGAGUUGUGAUCAUUAUUCUGAACGAAUCUAGCUUCCUAAUGAAAUCAUUAAGAUGCUGGACUCAUUGAAUUAACUUCAUUGUUUUCAGAGAACCUUGACAACUGCAUAGAUUAUUUUUAAAGACAAUAAGCAUCUUUAAUGAUGCAGAUUUAUUAUUUGUGCGAAUGCAUUAAUAACAAUUCUAUUAAGCUGAUGCUUCAAUUAUUGAAGUUAUU